RNAcentral lists this ribosomal RNA (445 nucleotides) under uncultured bacterium. RNAcentral describes it as "partial 16S ribosomal RNA". It matches the Rfam family "Bacterial small subunit ribosomal RNA", at positions 354 to 796 of the family's 1533-position model. The record is from RNAcentral.
GUGAGGAAUAUUGCGCAAUGGAGGCAACUCUGACGCAGCCAUGCCGCGUGCAGGAAGAAGGCGCUACGCGUUGUAAACUGCUUUUAACCGGGAAGAAACCCCAGGACGUGUCCUGGGUUGACGGUACCGGAGGAAUAAGCACCGGCUAACUUCGUGCCAGCAGCCGCGGUAAUACGAAGGGUGCAAGCGUUAUCCGGAUUCAUUGGGUUUAAAGGGUGCGUAGGCGGAGCGUUAAGUCAGUGGUGAAAUCCUGCAGCUUAACUGUAGACUUGCCAUUGAUACUGGCGCUCUUGAGUGCGCUUGAAGUGGGCGGAAUGUGCCGUGUAGCGGUGAAAUGCUUAGAUAUGGUACAGAACACCAAUUGCGAAGGCAGCUCACUAAGGCGAUACUGACGCUGAGGCACGAAAGCGUGGGGAUCGAACAGGAUUAGAAACCCCUGUAGUCC